Molecule: long non-coding RNA, 559 nt
Organism: Priapulus caudatus
Lineage: Eukaryota; Metazoa; Priapulida; Priapulimorpha; Priapulimorphida; Priapulidae
Exons: 2
Source: RefSeq, a predicted model, not a curated record
GGCUCAAUUCCGUAAAUGUAUCCGACUGAAAAUUGCUCGUGUUUUUUUGCAGAAUUAACCGGGAUAUUCUUCUACCAGAUUUCUUUAAGAAGUCUUUUGACAGCAAUUACAUCGCACCAUGUAGAAACAUUCCAGCUAUGAAUCUCGACCUCUGGUCAGGUCUUCAAAGGAAUGACAACGUUAACGGAGGCCUACCUAGUAGAAUUGGGAGCUCGAGACCUGUAGUACAAAGGCCUCGUUCCAACAACAGACCACAAUUUACGACAACGCGGAGUCCAUUCUUUAGGAACGGUUUCUUUGACAGCAUUAGGAUACGUAACUGAUAGGAUACGUACCGUAUUAGUAUCCAUCCAUUUAGUUAUUCCUAAUCGCGGCAACAGUAAUUCGCUGUGGCUUCCGUCAUGCAAUAAAUUGGAUUAGAAUAGCGCUGCGAUCCAAAGCACUCGCCGUUGUCACAAAGUUUGCGAAAUAUUAGUUACUGAAUUUCCGACAUCCGCAAACUUAAUAUAUAUUCUGUACACGAAAUAUAUUAAUAAACGAUUUUCUAGCGCCACACAAA